AGAUGAAGUACGACAAGAUACAACAACGAAACAAGAAAACAUGAUUCAUAUACUGCUUACAAAGUUCAUCAUGUAGUUGUCUAGUGUGUUCAAAAGAGGAUGUGCAAAAAUUAUUGCAAGACUCUUCAUGUUGUGAAGUUUUUUCCCAUAUGAGCUUAAAUUGUGUUCUCUAUUGUUAGUUUAUCUUUUCAUUUUUAGGAGUUCUUAAUAUUAGAGAAAGAUUAAGAAAGUGUAAUCUAGAGAUGUGUGAAUAAUCUGGAGGGG
RNAcentral lists this long non-coding RNA (264 nucleotides) under Vigna radiata. RNAcentral's name for it is "long non-coding RNA (VRAD_LNC005569)". The record is from RNAcentral. Lineage: Eukaryota; Viridiplantae; Streptophyta; Magnoliopsida; Fabales; Fabaceae.